Molecule: long non-coding RNA, 928 nt
Organism: Carya illinoinensis
Lineage: Eukaryota; Viridiplantae; Streptophyta; Magnoliopsida; Fagales; Juglandaceae
Exons: 3
Source: RefSeq, a predicted model, not a curated record
ACAUUUUUCUCACUUUGCACUUUCUUCUUCCUCCUCUUCCUUAUGCAUCUCUCUCUCUUCUCUUUUUGUGUUUGCUUGAGUGGAAAAGAAAAACGAUGAAAGCAAGGCACAAGUUUCUCCAAGGUCUCCUUGAGGCCUUUAUCAUGCAUGAGUCAAUGAAAAGUACCAUGGCCAUACUGAACUUCUCAAAGAUUGGAAUCCAUGGAUUGAAAGAAAUCCUUACAGCAGCAAUCUUUGCCAGAAUUCAUGAGUUUGGAAAUCCAAGUUCCAAUGUUCUAACGUUGGCUUGUUCAUGAUAAUUGGGUGCUAUCCUACCUGAGCUUUUAUACCUAUGAUCAUUUUUCUUAUCCAACCUACUUUUUUUUUUUAAUCCUCUCUGCUUUUGGUCAAUCUUCUUGACCUUGUAAGACCUUUCCUUAAUUUAGUAAGAUCUAGCACCGUAUCUAUUGUUUUUAUUUUCUAGUUUCUCAUGAAUUCUAUAUCAUAGUUUGUUGACAUAGAGUUUAGUGGUUAUCUUUUCCCAUUUCUAUCCAACUCAUCUUCUCCUUCCCUGUCUAUCCCUCCUGAGCUAUUUGAAACUAGACCGACAUGCAUCUCUCCUAAAUAUAGUACCGUCUGUCAGAAGACUUGAGAAGAUCCUUGAGUUUAUGCAAGCAAUGGAGAUCUCGAUUGCAACAUCAUGGAUUACAAUUUUUAUUCCCUUUUUUUUUUUUUUCACAUGUAAAUCAUGUAGAAGGAUUGAAGAAAAUGCAAAGAGUGAUCCAGCUUGAGAAAUAUGCAUCUGCAGACAUCGUGUUCGUUGUUUUAUAUGUUGUUGGCUGAUGAGAAAGUGACGAAGAGAAUAAAUAUUGUUCUCUCAGAUCUGUGGAAAGAGUUUACUCUCGUGACUGCUGUUAUGUACAAAACAUCAACUGUAUUAUUGGAUCUC